UACGAAGGGGGCUAGCGUUGCUCGGAAUCACUGGGCGUAAAGCGCAUGUAGGCGGCAGCGCAAGUCGGGCGUGAAAUCCCACGGCUCAACCGUGGAAGUGCACUCGAAACUGCGCAGCUAGAGUCCUGGAGAGGAAGGUGGAAUGCUUGGUGUAGAGGUGAAAUUCGUAGAUAUCAAGCGGAACACCGGUGGCGAAGGCGGCCUUCUGGACAGUGACUGACGCUGAGAUGCGAAAGCGUGGGGAGCAAACAGG
This 253-nucleotide ribosomal RNA is filed under the name uncultured bacterium. Its description in RNAcentral is "partial 16S ribosomal RNA". It matches the Rfam family "Bacterial small subunit ribosomal RNA", at positions 524 to 776 of the family's 1533-position model. The record is from RNAcentral.